CCUACGGGUGGCAGCAGUGGGGAAUCUUACGCAAUGAUCGAAAGAGUGACGCAGCGACGCCGCGUGAAUGACGAAGGCCUUCGGGUCGUAAAGUUCUUUCGACAGGGAAGAAAAUGCCUAUAAGUAACUGUGUAUGUAUUGACGGUACCUGUAGAAGCAGCCCCGGCUAACUCCGUGCCAGCAGCCGCGGUAAGACGGAGGGGGCGAGCGUUGUUCGGAGUGACUGGGCGUAAAGCGCACGUAGGCGGUGUUGUAAGUCAUUAGUCAAAGACUCGGGCUCAACUUUAGUAAGGCUAGUGAUACUGUAAUACUAGAGUAUCAGAGAGGAUUGCGGAAUUCCUGGUGUAGCGGUGAAAUGCGUAGAUAUCAGGAGGAAUACCGUUGGCGAAGGCGGCAGUCUGGCUGGAAACUGACGCUGAGGUGCGAAAGCGUGGGUAGCAAACAGGAUUAGAUACCCCGGUAGUC
RNAcentral lists this ribosomal RNA (465 nucleotides) under uncultured bacterium. RNAcentral's name for it is "partial 16S ribosomal RNA". It matches the Rfam family "Bacterial small subunit ribosomal RNA", at positions 338 to 795 of the family's 1533-position model. The record is from RNAcentral.